Molecule: long non-coding RNA, 220 nt
Filed under: Salvia miltiorrhiza (redroot sage)
Lineage: Eukaryota; Viridiplantae; Streptophyta; Magnoliopsida; Lamiales; Lamiaceae
Description: long non-coding RNA (SMIL_LNC012014)
Source: RNAcentral
UUCUUUUAAAAAUAGUCGUAUCGAUACUCGUACCCCACUAUCACUAGUGUCGGGAAUCGGGCUGCGACAGGGUGGUAUCAGAGCAGGUCAUCUGCUAUGAGUCUAUUGCUUGAUUGAGUUGAACCUUUAAUUACUGAUAUCUUUUUAAAUUGAGUACUAGUCUAACUUGAAUUCUUAGGCUAGUUUGAGAGAGUUAGUUUGAAACGAAACCCCAACACCC